UGCCCGGUUGUGUAAUGGUAGCACAGCAGAUUCUGACUCUGCUUGUCUAGGUUCGAAUCCUAGCCGGGUAA
RNAcentral lists this transfer RNA (71 nucleotides) under Planctomycetaceae bacterium. RNAcentral's name for it is "tRNA-Gln". It matches the Rfam family "tRNA". Rfam says of the family: Transfer RNA (tRNA) molecules are approximately 80 nucleotides in length. Their secondary structure includes four short double-helical elements and three loops (D, anti-codon, and T loops). Further hydrogen bonds mediate the characteristic L-shaped molecular structure. tRNAs have two regions of fundamental functional importance: the anti-codon, which is responsible for specific mRNA codon recognition, and the 3' end, to which the tRNAs corresponding amino acid is attached (by aminoacyl-tRNA synthetases). tRNAs cope with the degeneracy of the genetic code in two manners: having more than one tRNA (with a specific anti-codon) for a particular amino acid; and 'wobble' base-pairing, i.e. permitting non-standard base-pairing at the 3rd anti-codon position. Lineage: Bacteria; Pseudomonadati; Planctomycetota; Planctomycetia; Planctomycetales; Planctomycetaceae. The record is from RNAcentral.